GAAAUGCGAUAAGUAAUGUGAAUUGCAGAAUUCAGUGAAUCAUCGAAUCUUUAACGCACCUUGCGCUCCUUGGUAUUCCUUGGAGCAUGCCUGUUUGAGUAUCAUGAAAUCUUCAAAGUAAAUCUUUUUUUAACUCAAUUGGUUUCUACUUUGGUAUUGGAGGUCUUUGCAGCUUCACACCUGCUCCUCUUUGUUCAUUAGCUGGAUCUCAGUGUUAUGCUUGGUUCCACUCGGCGUGAUAAGUUAUCUAUCGCUGAGGACACUGUAAAAGGUGGCCAAGGUAAAUGCAGAUGAACCGCUUCUAAUAGUCCAUUGACUUGGACAAUACUUUUAUGAUCUGAUCUCAAAUCAGGUAGGACUACCCGCUGAACUUAAGC
RNAcentral lists this unclassified non-coding RNA (377 nucleotides) under plant metagenome. Its description in RNAcentral is "partial contains 5.8S ribosomal RNA, internal transcribed spacer 2, and large subunit ribosomal RNA". The stretch from base 1 to 104 matches the Rfam family "5.8S ribosomal RNA", at positions 50 to 154 of the family's 154-position model. The record is from RNAcentral.